GUUUGUUUUUACAGUAAAAAAAUGUGGAAAGAUCUGCUGAAGAUCUUGUAUCUUAAUUAGAUACAGAGAAGCUACAAAUCACAGACCCUAGUGAUAAACUUUGUCAUUACUCAGCUUCUGCUUUCAAACCUGAGAGGUGGGAGAAUGUAGAGCUAUUUUCUGUGUUUAAAAACUGAGUCUACAGAUUUUAUGUUCUCUUUUCCUGCUUUCCAUUUAUCUGUUUUAUUCAUGCU
RNAcentral lists this long non-coding RNA (233 nucleotides) under Gallus gallus (chicken). The record is from RNAcentral. Lineage: Eukaryota; Metazoa; Chordata; Aves; Galliformes; Phasianidae.